This 338-nucleotide ribosomal RNA is filed under the name Entamoeba gingivalis. RNAcentral describes it as "SSU rRNA". It matches the Rfam family "Eukaryotic small subunit ribosomal RNA", at positions 470 to 850 of the family's 1831-position model. The record is from RNAcentral. Lineage: Eukaryota; Evosea; Mastigamoebida; Endamoebidae.
ACGACAAAUAACUCUAUUCUUUAAGAAAAGAAUUGAAGGAAUGAACGGAACGUACAUAGUUUUGUGAAAGCAAUUGGAGGGCAAGUCUGGUGCCAGCAGCCGCGGUAAUUCCAGCUCCAAUAGUAUAUAUUAAAGUUGUUGUGAUUAAAAGGCUCGUAGUUGAAUGAAGAUACUAUUGAAAAGGCUUUUCUUUUUAUACAAAAAGAGAAGUUUAGUGAAACAAUAGAAGAAGGAAAUGGAUUACUUUGAAUAAAAUAGAGUGUUUAAAGCAAAACAAUGUUAAUGAAUAAUGAAGCAUGGGACAAUAAGAAGGAGAUUUGAAAGGAUUUCGAGAAGAA